Molecule: ribosomal RNA, 921 nt
Filed under: uncultured Acidobacteriota bacterium
Lineage: Bacteria; Pseudomonadati; Acidobacteriota
Description: bacterial SSU rRNA
Rfam family: Bacterial small subunit ribosomal RNA
Source: RNAcentral
AGAGUUUGAUCCUGGCUCAGAAUCAACGCUGGCGGCGCGCCUAACACAUGCAACGUCGAACGAGAAAGCCCCUUCGGGGGUGAGUACAGUGGCGAACGGGCUGAGUAACACGUGGGUUACCUGCCCUUAGUGGGGAAUAACUCCGGGUANACUGGGAGCUAAUACCGCAUACGCCCCUUCGGGGGGAAUAGCUUUAUGCGCUCGAGGAUGGGCCCGCUGCUCGAUUAGUCUUGUUGGUGGGGUAAUGGCCUACCAUAGGCAUCGAGUCGAUUAGCCGGCCUGAGAGGGCAUCAGCGGCCACACUGGCACUGAGACAGCUGGGCCAGGUACUUCCUACGCGGAGGCAUGCAGUGGGGAAUCUUGUGACACAUGGGGGAAACCCUGCAUCCAGCGUACGUCCGCUGUGCAUUGCACGAUAGGCCUUCGCGGUCGUAGAGAUCUUUCGGCGGGGGACUAUCAUCGANGGUACCCGNAGAACGCAGGAGCGGCUAACUACGUGCCAGCAGCCGCGGUAAUACGUAGGCUCCAAGCGUUGUUCGGAAUUACUGGGCGUCAAAGCGAGUGUAGGCGGUUUGCCAAGUCGAUUGUGAAAUCUCCCGGCUCAACUGGGAGGGUGCGGUCGACUACGUGGCAGGCCAUAGAGUGCGGGAGAGGAAGCGUAGAAGUUCCGUGGUGCUACGCGGUGGAAUGCGUAGAUAUCAGGAGGAAUACCGGUGGUGAAGACGGCCUUCUGGACCGCAACCGACGCUGAGACUCGAAAGCGUGGGGAGCAAACAGGAGUUAGAUACCCAUGGCUAGUCCACGCCCUAAACGAUGCAUACUUGGUGUGGGCUCAUUCACGGGGUCCGUGCCGGAGCUAACGCGUUAAGUAUGCCGCCCUGGCGGAGUACGGUCGCAAGGCAUGAAACUCAAAGGAAUUGA